RNAcentral lists this ribosomal RNA (433 nucleotides) under uncultured bacterium. RNAcentral's name for it is "partial 16S ribosomal RNA". It matches the Rfam family "Bacterial small subunit ribosomal RNA", at positions 29 to 507 of the family's 1533-position model. The record is from RNAcentral.
AACGAACGCUGGCGGCAUGCCUAACACAUGCAAGUCGAACGAGACCUUCGGGUCUAGUGGCGCACGGGUGCGUAACGCGUGGGAACCUGCCCUUAGGUUCGGAAUAACUCCCCGAAAGGGGUGCUAAUACCGGAUAAUGUCUUCGGACCAAAGAUUUAUCGCCUUUGGAUGGGCCCGCGUUGGAUUAGCUAGUUGGUAGGGUAAAAGCCUACCAAGGCGACGAUCCAUAGCUGGUCUGAGAGGAUGAUCAGCCACACUGGGACUGAGACACGGCCCAGACUCCUACGGGAAGCAGCAGUGGGGAAUAUUGGACAAUGGGCGAAAGCCUGAUCCAGCAAUGCCGCGUGAGUGAUGAAGGCCUUAGGGUUGUAAAGCUCUUUUACCCGGGAUGAUAAUGACGGUACCGGGAGAAUAAGCCCCGGCUAACUCCGUG